UGGUGGAGCGAUUUGUCUGGUUAAUUCCGAUAACGAACGAGACUCUAGCCUGCUAAAUAGUACACCGAUCUCUAUGUCGGCGCGUACUUCUUAGAGGGACAAGUAGCGGAUAGCUACACGAAAUUGAGCAAUAACA
This 136-nucleotide ribosomal RNA is filed under the name uncultured eukaryote. RNAcentral's name for it is "partial 18S ribosomal RNA". It matches the Rfam family "Eukaryotic small subunit ribosomal RNA", at positions 1299 to 1458 of the family's 1831-position model. The record is from RNAcentral.